GAUGAACGCUGGCGGCGUGCCUAAUACAUGCAAGUCGAGCGAACGGACGAGAAGCUUGCUUCUCUGAUUUUAGCGGCGGACGGGGGAGUAACACGUGGAUAACCUACCUAUAAGGCUGGGAUAACUUCGGGAAACCGGAGCUAAUACCGGAUAAUAUUUUGAACCGCAUGGUUCAAAAGUGACAGACGGUCUUGCUUUCACUUAUAGAUGGAUCCGAGCUGCAUUAGCUAGUUGGUAAGGUAACGGCUUACCAAGGCAACGAUGCAUAGCCGACCUGAGAGGGUGAUCGGCCACACUGGAACUGAGACACGGUCCAGACUCCUACGGGAGGCAGCAGUAGGGAAUCUUCCGCAAUGGGCGAAAGCCUGACGGAGCAACGGCGCGUGAGUGAUGAAGGUCUUCGGAUCGUAAAACUCUGUUAUUAGGGAAGAACAUAUGUGUAAGUAACUGUGCACAUCUUGACGGUACCUAAUCAGAAAGCCACGGCUAAAUACGUG
RNAcentral lists this ribosomal RNA (497 nucleotides) under uncultured bacterium. Its description in RNAcentral is "partial 16S ribosomal RNA". It matches the Rfam family "Bacterial small subunit ribosomal RNA", at positions 28 to 507 of the family's 1533-position model. The record is from RNAcentral.